Molecule: ribosomal RNA, 1386 nt
Filed under: Tilletia indica
Lineage: Eukaryota; Fungi; Basidiomycota; Exobasidiomycetes; Tilletiales; Tilletiaceae
Also listed under: 1 other name
Description: bacterial SSU rRNA
Rfam family: Bacterial small subunit ribosomal RNA
Source: RNAcentral
CAUCUGUUUAAUCUUGGCAGAGUUUGAACGUUAUCUGGUAGUUUUACUCAUGCAAGUUACUAAUUAUUAUGUAAUAGUUAAUAGCGUACAGGCGAGUAUAAAUAAGUAUAUACCAAUAAUUUAUAUUAUUGAUUAGCUUAUGUUUUAGCAGGUAGUUGGUAUAUGGUAAAAGCAUACCAAGCCUAUGACGAAUAAGAAUUAGCGAAAGCUUAGUUUCUCGCAAUUGGUUUGAGAAUAACCGAUCACAUCUAAAUUACUAGAUAUGCUGCAGAGGAGGAUCUUGGGCAAUGCUCGAAAGAGUGACCCAGCUAACCAGAACUCUUUUCUCUUGUGGUUAAAUGUUUACUUUUGAAUAACAAGAAUAGAGUAUAGUAAGGGAGGAUAAUGACGUUACCUUACCAUAAGUCCAAUCUAAGUUUCGUGCCAGCCGACGCGGUUAAACGAACUGGGCUAACGUUAAAUAGAAUUAAUAGGUAUUAAGGAUUCGUAGGUUGUAUUUAUCCACAUUGUGGAUGUACUAGAAUUGAAUAGAGGAUAAUGGAAUGCUAAGAGAAGGGAUGAUAUCCACUGAUAUUUAGUAGAACGCUAAAGGCGAAGGCAAUUAUCCAGUUACCAAUUGACACUGAGGAAUGAAAGUCUGGGGAGCAAAACGAAUUAGAUACUCGUGUAGUCCAGACCGUAAACUAUUUACACUUUAUAUUUAGAUAAUGUUAUAAUGUUAAAUAAUAAGCAAACUGCUGUAUGUGUAACACCUUGUGAGUACUGUUUCAGGACAGAAAGCAAAAAGAUUAGACCAUCUUAAAGACCCGGAGUGGAGCAUGUUGUUUAAUACGAUAAUCCGCGUAAAACCUUACCUCUCCUUGUAUAGCUUAAUUUUAAGACAAGUAUUUGUAAUUAAAUUAAGUUACAGGUGUUGCAUGGCUGUCGGCAGUUCGUGUCGUGAGAUGUUAGGUUGAGUCCGCUAACGAACGCAAUCCCUAUCUCUAAUUAAUUAUUUAGAGAUAUAUUUUUACAAUAAAUAUUUUGGGAAUACGAUAAGUCUUCAUGACCCUUAUGGAGCAAGGGCUACAGACGUGCUACUUGAAUCUAUCAAUACGAAGCAAUUUUCUAAAAAAUUAAAGAUAAUAAAGCAAAUCGUUAACAAAGAUGAUAUUAGGAUCGUAAUCUGAAAUUCGAUUACGUGAAUCAGGAAUUCCGAGUAAUCAUUGAUAAGUAUGCAAUGGUGAACUAUUAUAUUUAAGAGAUACUAAUCGUCUAUCACAUGGGGGCCAUUCUGCAAUCAAGAACAUUUAUAAAUAUAAUUAGCCUUAUGGCAUUAUAAAUGGUAUGAUGAGGAGUUUCUCUCGUGAAGUUAUAGCAAAGUAGCCGUAAGGGAACUUGUGGCUG